RNAcentral lists this unclassified non-coding RNA (379 nucleotides) under plant metagenome. Its description in RNAcentral is "partial contains 5.8S ribosomal RNA, internal transcribed spacer 2, and large subunit ribosomal RNA". The stretch from base 1 to 106 matches the Rfam family "5.8S ribosomal RNA", at positions 49 to 154 of the family's 154-position model. The record is from RNAcentral.
CGAAAUGCGAUAAGUAAUGUGAAUUGCAGAAUUCAGUGAAUCAUCGAAUCUUUGAACGCACCUUGCGCUCCUUGGUAUUCCUUGGAGCAUGCCUGUUUGAGUAUCAUGAAAUCUUCAAAGUAAAUCUUUUGUUAACUCAAUUGGUUUCUACUUUGGUAUUGGAGGUCUUUGCAGCUUCACACCUGCUCCUCUUUGUUCAUUAGCUGGAUCUCAGUGUUAUGCUUGGUUCCACUCGGCGUGAUAAGUUAUCUAUCGCUGAGGACACUGUAAAAGGUGGCCAAGGUAAAUGCAUAUGAACCGCUUCUAAUAGUCCAUUGACUUGGACAAUACUUUUAUGAUCUGAUCUCAAAUCAGGUAGGACUACCCGCUGAACUUAAGC